Molecule: ribosomal RNA, 245 nt
Filed under: uncultured bacterium
Lineage: Bacteria
Description: partial 16S ribosomal RNA
Rfam family: Bacterial small subunit ribosomal RNA
Source: RNAcentral
CACUCCCUACGGGGGGCAGCAGUAGGGAAUCUUCCACAAUGGACGAAAGUCUGAUGGAGCAACGCCGCGUGAGUGAAGAAGGGUUUCGGCUCGUAAAGCUCUGUUGGUAGUGAAGAAAGAUAGAGGUAGUAACUUGCCUUUAUUUGACGGUAAUUACUUAGAAAGUCACGGCUAACUACGUGCCGGCAGCCGCGGUAAUACGUAGGUGGCAAGCGUUGUCCGGAUUUUUUGGGCGUAAAGCGAGU